CCUACGGGAUGCAGCAGUGAGGAAUAUUGGUCAAUGGACGAGAGUCUGAACCAGCCAAGUAGCGUGAAGGAUGACUGCCCUAUGGGUUGUAAACUUCUUUUAUAUGGGAAUAAAACGUUCCACGUGUGGGAUUUUGUAUGUACCAUAUGAAUAAGGAUCGGCUAACUCCGUGCCAGCAGCCGCGGUAAUACGGAGGAUCCGAGCGUUAUCCGGAUUUAUUGGGUUUAAAGGGAGCGUAGGUGGAUUGUUAAGUCAGUUGUGAAAGUUUGCGGCUCAACCGUAAAAUUGCAGUUGAAACUGGCAGUCUUGAGUACAGUAGAGGUGGGCGGAAUUCGUGGUGUAGCGGUGAAAUGCUUAGAUAUCACGAAGAACGCCGAUUGCGAAGGCAGUUCACUGGACUGCAACUGACACUGAGGCUCGAAAGUGUGGGUAUCAAACAGGAUUAGAUACCCGGGUAGUC
Molecule: ribosomal RNA, 460 nt
Filed under: uncultured bacterium
Lineage: Bacteria
Description: partial 16S ribosomal RNA
Rfam family: Bacterial small subunit ribosomal RNA
Source: RNAcentral